CCGGCGAUAGUAAUCGAGUUCUUUGAUUAGGGUUGUUGAGGCUUUCGGGCGAGGAAGACGAAGCGGCGGCCGCAGGUUGACCCUUCGACACUCCGCGAGUUCGUCUCGGUCAGCACACAGGCCGCACCUCACGGGCCGAGCUCGGACACUACCAUUGGGCCUCGUUCCCUUUCGGCCCAACCCAGAGACGCAUCCAGGAACCCUGCGCCGUUAGUGUCCUUUGUAGCCCAUUAGUUUCGACGUUGUCGGCGGCUUCGUUGCACUUGCGGCUUGGUGGCGCGACAUACGUAUAAUAUACCAAUUCCUAGGUUUUUGACCCUUCUGGAACCAUUCCCACCCUUGUUUCAACCAUCUGAGGAGAUAGUUAGGUGUCGGAGUUAGCAUGAUGAGUG
This is a long non-coding RNA of Cucurbita moschata (crookneck pumpkin), 392 nucleotides long. RefSeq lists it as uncharacterized. Lineage: Eukaryota; Viridiplantae; Streptophyta; Magnoliopsida; Cucurbitales; Cucurbitaceae. The record is from RefSeq and is a predicted model, not a curated record. The transcript has 3 exons.